UACGUAGGUGGCAAGCGUUGUCCGGAUUUACCGGGUGUAAAGGGCGCGUAGGCGGGAGAGCAAGUCAGAUGUGAAAUGUGGGGGCUUAACCCUCAAGCUGCAUUUGAAACUGUUCUUCUUGAGUAUCGGAGAGGCAGGCGGAAUUCCUAGUGUAGCGGUGAAAUGCGUAGAUAUUAGGAGGAACACCAGUGGCGAAGGCGGCCUGCUGGACGACAACUGACGCUGAGGCGCGAAAGCGUGGGGAGCAAACAGGAUUAGAUACCCUGGUAGUCCACACUGUAAACGAUGAAUACUAGGUGUGGGGGGACUAACCCCCUCCGUGCCGGAGUUAACACAAUAAGUAUUCCACCUGGGGAGUACGGCCGCAAGGUUGAA
This 375-nucleotide ribosomal RNA is filed under the name uncultured bacterium. RNAcentral describes it as "bacterial SSU rRNA". It matches the Rfam family "Bacterial small subunit ribosomal RNA", at positions 524 to 898 of the family's 1533-position model. The record is from RNAcentral.